AUGUAAUUUCAGUAGUAGAGUGUAGCUUUGUCAAUUUGUCAUCCACCAUGGCCGGUGCUGCAGAUGAGGUUUUAGGCAUUCUGCACGGCGCGGCCCGUGUGUAAUUUGUAGCCAAGUAGGUUUCCGUUCUUGUUGGUCCCCGGACCUCGCCGGCGUUUUUGUGACCGGCGUCCUGCUCCGGAUGUUACUGUAAAAUGUUCCGUGGGUGCACAGCAUUGGUGUACUGGUCUGUCUGUAAAAAAGUUGGGAUCUUUAGGUUGUAAUCAACUGCUGUUGUUAAUUGUAAGAAUCUGUCUCCUCAUCAUCAACCGACUGAGAUUGUUUUCGUCCAUUGGAUCGAGAUACAGAUGCAGAUGCAUGUACUUCAUUUUCUCUCUCUUUAUCUUCUCUAGUUCUCUUCCCCGUCCCCCUGGCUCGACGCAGAAAGCGAGCCGCCUCCACCGCCUGUCGCCUCCGCUUCCCGCCGUCUCUACCGCCUUCACCGCCGGCCGUUGAGCCGCCCAACAGCUUCCUCUACAGUUAGGCACUUGAGUAAGCUCCCAACCCUAACUCUGAAUCCCAUCUCCAUUCUAGUUAUAGUAGAAAUUUAGGUGACCGACAGACAAGCAAGAUCUCAAUCGAUUGAUGAGAAGUACAACUCUAAUUCGAUUGAUGAGGAGUAAAACUCUAAGGCCCCGUUUGGGUCCAAGGAAUUGGAAUCUAUUUAAUGGAGUAGGCUAAUUUAUGUUGGAAUGUGGCAUUCCACAACUUUCCAAAAUUUAGAUAUAAGCCUAUCUUAAAUUCAUGAGGUGGGAGAUGGAAAUUGAUUUUAUAGAUUAUGGUUAUUAGAUGGAAUUCAAUUCUUAUAGCACGCUCUUAGACUCGCUUCUCUAUAGUAGAAGUGCAGCAUACAAGUAUCUCUCCCAUAUCACCAACUAUAAUAUACAACUAUAUUCCACAUACAAUUAUAUUAGUUUAAUUAAUUUGUGUCUAAAUUAUGAUUAUUAGGAUGGAAUUCAAUUCCAAUGAUCCAAACGGGGCCUAAUUGUAAUGCUACUUCAUCGUGCUGUGAAGAAAUUGCGUGCCAAUUUUGUCCAUCAUCACUCUGUGCUGUUGUGUGUGCUCACCGCUCUCUCAAAUCUCAAUGCAUUCUCACGUUCUUGGUACUAACUACCGGAAGUUCACAGUGCUUGUUCAAAGCUUGCCAGUGACGAUGCCGGCAUAUGGCAGAAAGGUUUUUGGAUUGAGUGCAAGCUAACAGCUUUGGGUGGCUGUCCAACGAUGAUAGAAGAAAUGCGCGAAAACAUCUCUGCUCAUCCUUUGUGCCGCCACUGCAGACUGCCGUGCUUGACGCUGCUCGCAAGAGGUGGAGCGCGUGCGUGGUAAGCAGAGGCCAUGCCGGUUUCUGUGAGUGUCAGCAGUGUGGGUGGUUUGCGGCUGUUCCGUCCCCGAACGGCCCGGCGGCGGCCGGCGGCCAUUCGCGAAGCGUCCUGUGAGAUCAGAUUAGCAAUGGGACGCACGUCGCGUCGCCCCCCGUUGUCCGGUUCUGUGAGCGCACGUCGCAAGGCAAAGCGGCGAGCCACCUCGGUCGAUCUCCGCCGCCGGCGGCCGUGGUGGUUUCCAGUGCCUCCCCCCAUACCUGGCUGGAAGUCGUGUGGGCUGAGUCGCAUGGUGGCAUCUAAACUUGGGAGGUACACGGCCCAUGGGCCACCUAGGCGAAGCAACGGAUCCGCCCAUGGGCUUCCAGUAUUGUUUUUGUUGGACCCAAGUGAACGUAAUGGAUCGGCCCAUGGAAGUCUUCUCGUGGGUAAGAGAGUGGGUUGUGGGCCUCGAUCGAGCUGGUUCAGGCUCGAAAGAAGCGGGUGACGGAAGCAUCGCCGCGGGGGACGACGACACGAUGAUGCUCGGUGGAUCUGGGCGGCGUCCGGCGAUGUCUUUGAUCCGUUCGUGGGAUGCUCAGGCCACCAUGACCACUGAUUCCUCCUGUUCGGUGUUCGUUGUCCGAUCCCCUCCGCCGGCUACAGAGAACCGUGGCAAGAAAGAAGAUUAAAAAUCACACGCACGCCCACCUCCCGUCGUCGCAUCCGGCCGGCCAACGUGAUUAAUGCCCCGGAACUUCAUUAGCACUGCCCGAGAACACAUGAUAUAUGCAACGCAGCAGCGCAUCAGAAAAAUGCUCGGGGAACAACCGGCCGGCCUUCUCAACGUGCGCCGACCAACCACCCAACGGAGGAGGAGGGCGCGCGGGGCAUCUCCGCCGGGGUCAGGAUCGUCUCGCAAUUGGCAUCAUCGAUCGCGCCCGGCGGGCGGUGUGGGGUUGCCAAGAAACGGACUUGUAUGACGGCCCAUUGGAAUUUGCCUCCGCCCGUGAGUCAUCUCCUCGGCCUUCAAUUUCUUUCAUGCGGAGUAGUUAUGGGCCUCCAUCGUGGGGCAUUGUCGUUUUCGUAUGACGAUUGUACUAGCUUGCAUCUAAAUGGAGCAGGGGCCAACCAGUAAAUGGAUUUAUUCUUCUAAAGUUCUAAAGUUUGGCUAGCUGCGGAAAUCCUGUCCAUCUUCCUUAAGGAAGAAACUUAAUCAUCUUCCGGUGCGCGCGAUAACAGUCGUUGGAUCGGCUUCUUCCUCCCGUUGGUUUAGGGUUGGGUCUUUGGGGUUCGCUAGCUUAGAAAGGGGCUGGGGGUGGUCGAUUGGCCUAGCGGUGGAGGCGGGUGAGAUGGUGGCGGGGGACACCGGAUGGGCAGGGUCGGCGGUGGGGACGAAGAGCUCGAUUGGGAGCUGAUGGAGUUAGGAGAGGCGGUGGUUGUAGCUUGGCGGUGCGGUGAGGUGGUGGGGACACUGCUGGCUGUGGGUGGCGGAGGGCAACGACGGGGGCGUCACCUGCCUUCAGGUUAGGAAGGGCGGGGUCGAGGGUGGCGGUGGAUGGUGGGGUGGGGUGGGGGGAAGGCAGGCGGCGCAGCAGCGGCCAGCCGGGGUGGUGGAGGCAGCGGGGUGGGGAGCCACUAGGGAAGAAUACGAAGAGGAGGAAGUCUCGUGGGCUGGUGGUGGGUUGGAAGACCACUCUCCUAUCUAUCUUCCGAUAGAAAGAUAGGAGCCUCUGGCUAGUUGUUACUGUACACAUCUAAUAGAAUUUGCAAAAACUUAGGGGGGUCAUGGGCCCAUGGCCCAAGUUGGGCCUCAACUAAGUGAUCAGGCCUAAGGCUGGGCAUGGUUUGGUCUCGAACUGGUUUAGUGGUUUGAUUUUUUAAUUGGUGUUGGUUGGUUUGGUGGAUAAUGGGGUGACAUAUAUAAUGGUUGGAUUUGGUUUGGUUUAGCGUUGUAAUGGUUUGGGCCGAUUGGAAUUGGUUUGACUAAUUCAAAAUAUUCAAUAAUAGUAAAAUUAGUAUGGCUAUACGUGUGAUCUAGGUCAAAAGCUGGAUCCUAAAAUUUAAAUCUCGCGUUCACAUCUAAAAUUUUUUAGCGAAAUUAACAAAUUUGUUCGAGAUAUCUCAGAACCACAAUCAGCUACUUCGUGCAGAUUGUCGUGGCUAAAUCUACACAUGGAUCCCGCGUCGAAAGCUGGACUCUAAAAUUAAAAUCUCACAUUCACACCUUAAUAUUUUUGUAAAUUUGAUUGAAAUUUGUUGAAGAUGUUUUAGAAUGGCAAUCCGCUACUUGUGUAAAUUAGCGUGCCUAGAUCUACACGUGGGCUCUAUGUUGAAGCCGGACCCUAAAACUAAAACCUCACGUUCAUACCUUAAAAUUUUAGCGAAUUUGACUGAAAUUUGUUGGAGAUGUCUCAAAAUAACAGUCAGCUACUUCGUGCAUGGUACUGCUAGAUCUACGUGUGGAUCCACGUCGAAAGCUAACCAUAUGAUAUAUAUAGAAAAUAGGUUUUAAGUGGCUUAGAACCGGUUUGAGAUAUGAGUUUAGUUUGGUUUGUGUUCUUUUACACCACUUAGUUGGUUUGGUUUAGAUACAUAACACUAAUGGGCUGGUUGGUGUGGUUUGAAAUUAAAUUUCUUUGGUUUGGUUUUGCGACGAUUCUCGUACCAUUAGCAGCUUUAAUCAUGCCCCCUGACUCGAUACCUGCUUCAGUAUCCGAACAUUCAUCUUAGCGAUCAGAACCUUUGUGUCCGAUAUUUAUAGGAAAUAAAAAUAGAGAAAGCAUAUAGUCAUCAGAGCUGGCAUGCGAAAUGAGGUGCUUACCUCAGUUGGUAAGGUUUCUUGAGCAAAACCUACCCAUCAGAGUUUGAGUCCUUAACUCGGCAUGAGUCAUCGUAUUUUUCUGGAUUUAUUCCAGAAUUUAACCGGCACUAUUUUUCCAGUGGUAGGCAACGUGCCUGUCGAUACGCCAGUGGUGACUUCGUCAAUCUUGAGGAUUUGCCGGCUCAGUAUUUCGGAGGUGCUCAAAGGUAAGGUUGCGUGCGUAUGUUCGUAGGGGCGAGUGUGUGUACAUGUAUGUGAGCGUCUGUUCCGUGUGCUUCGAAAAAAAUCAGAGCGUGGCCAGUGAUUUCUACUAGUAGCGCAUAUAUUCAGUCCCCUUGUGCUGUUACAAAGAACAAAAAAAAAA
RNAcentral lists this long non-coding RNA (4525 nucleotides) under Setaria viridis. RNAcentral describes it as "long non-coding RNA (SVIR_LNC007255)". Lineage: Eukaryota; Viridiplantae; Streptophyta; Magnoliopsida; Poales; Poaceae. The record is from RNAcentral.